CAAAUUUAAAAUUUGACAUCCAAACAAAAUUCAUACAAGUGCAAAAAAUAAUGUUUAAUUAACUUGAAAUGGUUAAAGAAAGGUGUGCAAAUUUGAAAUGUUUUUCUAUCAAGAGUCCGUACAUAAAAAACAUAUUGAAUCAAAAGAUAAUCGCAAACAACUGCUUUGUUGGUAGGACUCCCCGCUACAAUACAACAUAUUCACUUAGUUGUUUAUGAAUUAAUAAGAUAUUUUUUUUCGUGGUCAACAUGACGAAUGUUGAGCCAAAUAAAUAGCAUUUGUGGUCUGUGAUAUUUUUUUUGUUUAAUCAAAGAGAAAGGCAUAGGAAAGUGACUAAAUUCUUAUCGAGACUUACGGCAAUCGUGCUGUAACCAUCAAGUGGCGAUUUCAAUGUUAUUGUCAAAGAAUACGAAAAUCGACCAAAGAAGUUUGAAGAUGAAUUACAAGUAUUAUUGGACAAACAUGAUAUAUAAACACAACAAAUGAUGGUGGAGGAGUUGAAUGUUACUCGGUAAACCAUUUCCGAUCGCCUGAAAGCCAUAGGAAAGAUUCAAAAGGUUGAAAAAUAGAUUUCACACAAACUGAAGGAAUAACAGACGGAAAAACGAAAAACUACGUGACAUGAUACUUUUACGCCAUAACGAAAGGGUAUCACAUUCAAAAAUUAAUAUAUUUUGACAUCAAAGACAAAAAAUAAUGGGUAAUGGGUAACGCUAACAACAUCGAGUGCGAGAUCGGAUAGAUUUGGGUAGAUGAAGAUGUAAUGUGUGCGGUGGGAUCCGAAAGUACUAGUGAACUACGUCCGUUCCCGACAACAAAUGAUCAAUGGAGUUCAAUGGAAGAUGAAGUUCUUGUUUGGAAUGGUACCCAUAAAUUUCUUGAGAGAUGAGCCAAAUAUAUAGAAAGAGAGCGAUACUGAUACUUUGAUUAAAAUCCAAUCUUGUCAUUGUUCUCUCAUUCCAAUCCAACGUAUGUGCCCAAAUACAUUGUCAAUGUUGCAAUUUAAUUUUCCAGGAUGUGUCCAAUUCUUACAAAUAUGUACAUCAGUUUUUGGAGGAAUAAUGGCUACAUGUGUGCAAACAAUACGUUUUGUGAUUUCUGGGAAAUUAUAUUUUUUAGAAAAACAAGAAUAUAUACAUUAUAAUGUUGUACUUACAA
Aethina tumida (small hive beetle) is the source of this 1158-nucleotide long non-coding RNA. RefSeq lists it as uncharacterized. The record is from RefSeq and is a predicted model, not a curated record. NCBI's taxonomy places the organism in Eukaryota, Metazoa, Arthropoda, Insecta, Coleoptera, Nitidulidae. The transcript has 2 exons.